GUACGAAUGCGUAAGAAUGUGUACAUAAGAACAAUAAACCCACAGCUCUGUCUGUUCCUGCUUGACCCUCAAAACUGAGCCUUGUCUCGUUCUUGGGGGGGGAUUUAUUGUAUGCUGUUCCAGUUCGACUGCUAGGAGUGUAAACCUAUUCGUAUGGUUUUUCCUAUUUGGCUGUUUACGGCAUUCAUGUGGUUUCCUGUUCGGUGGAUUGGUGUUCUGCAGUAGCUGUGCCUGUGUCUUUGGAAGGGAAGAUCUACUAAACGGCGGUUUAACCCUUUUAUGCCCGGGGUGCCGUUACAAUUGGUGGCAAGCGGCGGGAUAGUUCCUACAGCCAGAAGGACAGCUACAGGAGACACCAUUUCUUUGGAUUUUGCAAAUUGAGGGCAAUGCAUGUUUGAGUACAGCGACCCUGACAG
Non-coding RNA from Pelobates cultripes (western spadefoot toad), 416 nucleotides. The record is from the annotation of a GenBank genome assembly. NCBI's taxonomy places the organism in Eukaryota, Metazoa, Chordata, Amphibia, Anura, Pelobatidae.